Molecule: ribosomal RNA, 2469 nt
Filed under: Triticum aestivum (bread wheat)
Lineage: Eukaryota; Viridiplantae; Streptophyta; Magnoliopsida; Poales; Poaceae
Description: partial small subunit ribosomal RNA
Source: RNAcentral
AUGGUUAGGAGUGUACCGAUUGGUGAGAAGCUCUUCAUAGGAGGAGACCUCAAUGGCCACGUGGGUACAUCUAACACAGGUUUUGAAAGGGCGCAUGGGGGCUUUGGCUAUGGCAUCAGGAAUCAAGAAGGAGAAGAUGUCUUAAGCUUUGCUCUAGCCUACAACAUGAUUGUAGCUAACACCCUCUUUAGAAAGAGAGAAUCACAUCUGGUGACUUUUAGUAGUGGCCAACACUCUAGCCAGAUUGAUUUCAUCCUCUCGAGAAGAGAAGAUAGGCGUGCGUGCCUAGACUGUAAGGUGAUACCUGGGGAGAGUGUUGUACCCCAACAUAAGCUGGUGGUUGCUGACUUCCGCUUUUGGAUUCGUGUCCAGCGGGAUAAGCGUGCCAAGGUCGCUAGAACGAAGUGGUGGAAGCUCAAGGGGGAGGUAGCUCAGGUGUUCAAGGAGAGGGUAUUUAAGGAGGGCCCUUGGGAGGAAGGAGGGGAUGCGGACAAUGUGUGGAUGAAGAUGGCGACUUGCAUUCGUAAGGUGGCCUCGGAGGAGUUUGGAGUGUUCAGGGGAAGGAGAAGCAAAGAUAAGGAUACCUGGUGGUGGAAUGAUGAUGUCCAGAAGGCGCUUAAAGAGAAGAAAGAUUGCUUCAGACGCCUAUACCUGGAUAGGAGUGCAGACAACAUAGAGAAGUACAAGAUGGCGAAGAAGGCCGCAAAGCGAGCUGUUGGUGAAGCAAGGGGUCGGGCAUAUGAGGACCUCUACCAAUGGUUAGGCACGAAGGAAGGUGAAAGGGACAUCUAUAAGAUGGCUAAGAUCUGGGAGAGGAAGACGAGGGAUAUUGGCCAAGUCAAAUGCAUCAAGGACGGAGCAGGCCAACUCUUGGUGAAGGACAAAGAGAUUAAGCAUAGAUGGCGGGAGUACUUCAACAAGCUGUUCAAUGGGGAGAAUGAGAGUUCUACCAUUGAAAUGAAUGACUCCUUUGAUGAGACCAGCAUGCGUUUUGUGCGGCGCAUCCAGGAGUCUGAGGUGAAGGAGGCUUUAAAAAGGAUGAAAGGAGGCAAGGCGAUGUGCCCUGAUUGUAUCCCCAUUGAGGUGUGGAAAGGUCUCGGGAACAUAGCGAUAGUAUGGCUAACCAAGCUUUUCAACCUCAUUUUUCGGGCAAACAAGAUGCCAGAAGAAUGGAGACGGAGUAUAUUAGUACCAAUCUUCAAGAACAAGGGGGAUGUUCAGAGUUGUACUAAUUACCGUGGAAUUAAGCUGAUGAGCCAUACAAUGAAGCUAUGGGAGAGAGUCAUUGAGCACCGCUUAAGAAGAAUGACAAGCGUGACCAAAAAUCAGUUUGGUUUCAUGCCUGGGAGAUCGACCAUGGAAGCCAUUUUCUUGGUACGACAACUUAUGGAGAGAUAUAGGGAGCAUAAGAAGGACUUGCAUAUGGUGUUCAUUGACUUGGAGAAGGCCUAUGAUAAGAUACCGCGGAAUGUCAUGUGGUGGGACUUGGAGAAACACAAAGUCCCAGCAAAGUACAUUACCCUCAUCAAGGACAUGUACAAUAAUGUUGUGACAAGUGUUCAAACAAGUGAUGUCGACACCGAUGACUUCCCGAUUAAGAUAGGACUGCAUCAGGGGUCAGCUUUGAGCCCUUAUCUUUUUGCAUUGGUGAUGGAUGAGGUCACAAGGGGUAUACAAGGAGAUAUCCCAUGGUGUAUGCUCUUCGCGGAUGAUGUGGUGCUAGUUGACGAUAGUCGGACGGGGGUAAAUAGGAAGUUAGAGUUAUGGAGACAAACCUUGGAAUCGAAAGGGUUUAGGCUUAGUAGAACUAAAACCGAGUACAUGAUGUGCGGUUUCAGUACUACUAGCUGUGAGGAGGAGGAGGUUAGCCUUGAUGGCCAGGUGGUACCUCGGAAGGACACCUUUCGGUAUUUGGGGUCAAUGUUGCAGGAGGAUGGGGGUAUUGAUGAAGAUGUGAACCAUCGAAUCAAAGCCAGAUGGAUGAAGUGGCGCCAAGCUUCUGGCAUUCUCUGUGACAAGAGAGUGCCACAAAAGCUAAAAGGCAAGUUCUACAGGACGGCGGUUCGACCCGCAAUGUUGUAUGGCGCGGAGUGUUGGCCGACUAAAAGGCGACAUGUUCAACAGUUAGGUGUGGCGGAGAUGCGUAUGUUGAGAUGGAUGUGUGGCCACACGAGGAAGGAUCGAAUCCGGAAUGAUGAUAUACGAGAUAGAGUUGGGGUAGCACCAAUUGAGGAGAAGCUUGUCCAACAUCGUUUGAGAUGGUUUGGGCAUAUUCAGCGUAGGCCUCCAGAAGCUCCAGUGCAUAGCGGACGGCUAAAGCGUGCGGAGAAUGUCAAGAGAGGGCGGGGUCGAUCGAUUUUGACAUGGGAGGAGUCCGUUAAGAGAGACCUGCAGGAUUGGAGUAUCGACAAAGAGCUAGCUAUGGACAGGGGUGCGUGGAAGCUUGCUAUCCAUGUGCCAGAGCCAUGA